Molecule: ribosomal RNA, 463 nt
Filed under: uncultured bacterium
Lineage: Bacteria
Description: partial 16S ribosomal RNA
Rfam family: Bacterial small subunit ribosomal RNA
Source: RNAcentral
GAUGAACGCUGACAGAAUGCUUAACACAUGCCAGUCUUUGGCGAAGCUGUGCUUGCACAGCCUAGCCAAGGCGGACGGGUGAGUAACGCGUAAGGAACUUGCCCUGCAGUCAGGGAUAACAGACGGAAACGACUGAUAAGACCUGGUAAAGUCAGGCGGACUCAUGUCCAGCCUGAUGAAAAGAGAUGCUGCAGGAGAGCCUUGCGUCCUAUUAGCUUGUUGGUGGGGUAACGGCCCACCAAGGCGAUGAUAGGUAGCCGGCCUGAGAGGGUGGACGGCCACAAGGGGACUGAGAUACGGCCCUUACUCCUACGGGAGGCAGCAGUGGGGAAUAGUGGACAAUGGGGGCAACCCUGAUCCAGCAAUUCUGUGUGCACGAUGAAGGUUUUCGGAGUGUAAAGUGCUUUCAGCAGGGAAGAAAAAAAUGACGGUACCUGCAGAAGAAGCGACGGCUAAAUACGUG